This 281-nucleotide unclassified non-coding RNA is filed under the name Hevea brasiliensis (rubber tree). The record is from RNAcentral. Lineage: Eukaryota; Viridiplantae; Streptophyta; Magnoliopsida; Malpighiales; Euphorbiaceae.
ACAGAUGAUACCUGUUAAAAAAGAAAAGGCAGAGAAUUAAGUUCAGACACAAAAUGCAAAUAACCAACGUUACCCAUUACCAAAAAAUUGAUAUACUUCUUCUUUCUUCUCCAACUAUGGCAAAUAUUCUCCAUAAGUAAUACUCAAAUUGCUUAGUCAAGCAACGCAGAUGAAUUCCAUUAUCAUUUCAAACUCCUUAGCCGACCAUUAGAAAAAUAACAAAGUCAAAAGGGGGGAAAAAAAUCCGAUCUCUUGCACCAAUACACGGGACAAAAACCAAA